GAUGAACGCUGGCGGCGUGCCUAAUACAUGCAAGUCGAGCGAACAGACGAGGAGCUUGCUCCUCUGACGUUAGCGGCGGACGGGUGAGUAACACGUGGAUAACCUACCUAUAAGACUGGGAUAACUUCGGGAAACCGGAGCUAAUACCGGAUAAUAUAUUGAACCGCAUGGUUCAAUGGUGAAAGACGGUUUUGCUGUCACUUAUAGAUGGAUCCGCGCCGCAUUAGCUAGUUGGUAAGGUAACGGCUUACCAAGGCGACGAUGCGUAGCCGACCUGAGAGGGUGAUCGGCCACACUGGAACUGAGACACGGUCCAGACUCCUGCGGGAGGCAGCAGUAGGGAAUCUUCCGCAAUGGGCGAAAGCCUGACGGAGCAACGCCGCGUGAGUGAUGAAGGUCUUCGGAUCGUAAAACUCUGUUAUUAGGGAAGAACAAAUGUGUAAGUAACUAUGCACGUCUUGACGGUACCUAAUCAGAAAGCCACGGCUAACUACGUG
RNAcentral lists this ribosomal RNA (497 nucleotides) under uncultured bacterium. RNAcentral's name for it is "partial 16S ribosomal RNA". It matches the Rfam family "Bacterial small subunit ribosomal RNA", at positions 28 to 507 of the family's 1533-position model. The record is from RNAcentral.